This 1512-nucleotide long non-coding RNA is filed under the name Vulpes vulpes (red fox). Lineage: Eukaryota; Metazoa; Chordata; Mammalia; Carnivora; Canidae. The record is from RNAcentral.
GGGGGGGGGGGGGGGGGGGGGCGUCCCUGAGACCCUGUCGUGUGUCCCGAGGGGCGCAGCUUCCUCAGGCACGUCCUUCCGUCCAGCCCGCAGGUGUCCAGCCGCGCCGGGGGAGGGUGGGGCGGGGGCCUACACCGAGACAUCGGGCGGGUUUCCCAGGAAGUUUAGGGCGCCCGGGGCCCCUAGUAGCGGGUCUUCUCGGGGAGGAGCUGCAUGGGCGGUGAGGCAGGGGCGCGUGGCGGAGCCCCAGGUAAUUGCCGGUUAUGGUCGUUGUAGGUUAUCAGCGAGCUCAACGGGAAAAACAUCGAGGACGUGAUCGCUCAGGGUGAGGUUGUGCGCCGGGGCUGCGUUCUCAGGGUCCAUCCUAAUCCCUGCGGGUCCUCCCGUGGCCCGCCAGGUUUCGCUUGUGGACCAGAGCACUCCAGAAGCCUCACCCAGGACAGCGGGCAGGCUUCAGUGGCUCGUGCCAGGGAUGCUUCUGGACAGUCCUGGCUGUAGGGCAGCAGGGGGUGCUGGUGCUUUCACCCCGCAGGGCCACCUGCCUGCAGAGGGGACCUUAGGGAUCUUGGGAACGGGGUUUUGUAAAUAAGUCUGGUCAUGUAGUCUGCGUGAAGUGGUUGGGGGCAGACUGGGGGUGCCAGGGGUGACCGCAGGUUCCUGCCAUCCUUGCUGGGCAGAUGGUGUCCUGGUGACAAGGCUGGAGCUGAUGGGACAUUAUUCUGUUCCUGUGUGGAGGUGGGUGGGUGGGUGGGUGCCUUAGCCCACAGUCCUGUGGGAGCCCAUAAAUGGGGAUCUGGAUCCAAGUGCCAGAUUGUGUCUUUGCCUGGUUGUGAACAUGUUUGUCCAACUUAGCUUUGGGGUAGGGUUUCCAGAUACGGAUCUCAGGGCUGGGGCAUCUAUGUGGUGGGCUCCCGCACAUCGGGGAGACCAUGCCAUCACUCCCCUGAGGUAGGCUUAAGGCUGAGCAUUUCUCUGGUCUCACCUUCCUGAUUCCCACAGGUAUUGGCAAGUUGGCCAGUGUGCCUGCUGGUGGGGCUGUGGCCGUGUCUGCCGCCCCAGGGUCUGCAGCUCCUGCUGCUGGUGCUGCCCCAGCCGCAGCGGAGGAAAAGAAAGACGAGAAGAAAGAGGAGUCCGAGGAGUCAGACGACGACAUGGGAUUCGGCUUAUUUGAUUAGGGUCCUGCCCACCCCCACCCACUGGCAAAUAAAACCCUUUUUGUGUAUCUGUGGAGUGGUGUGUGGGUGUUUUGUAAGAGUGUGGCGUUGGUGCGCAGGGCAGGCCUUCAGCCCAGGAGAAAGCAGAGCCCUUGCUGGUGCGGCGGGGUUCUAGGCAGGAGAAGCUGCGCAAAGAGCAGGGCAUCUGGUGUGGAAAUGGGUACUUGGGAUGGCGGACGUCUGUGGAUCUUGGGUAGGCCAGGCCUUGGGGAGGCUCAGAAGGGGACAUGAGCCUUCCUGGGCAUGAGCCUGGUUUCUGAGGGCUGCUGGGGGGCCUUCCGGAGAGGGAGCUUUAAGG